ACAAGAAUCAUAGCAGAGUCAACUGGGAGAUCUUAUGAACAAGUUCAGAAAGACAUUGAUAGGGAUCGAUACAUGUCUCCAAUUGAAGCAGUUGAAUAUGGAAUAAUUGAUGGGGUUAUAGAUGAAGAUAGCAUUAUCCCACUUGAACCUGUUCCUGAUCGAGUUAAACCUACACUCAGUUAUGAUGCAAUUAGCAAAGAUCCUUCAAAAUUCUUGAACCCUGAGAUACCUGAUGAUGAAAUCUACUAGGUGGAAGGUGGGUAACUAUUGCAAAUUUGCAAUUGCUUGAAGACAGUUUUACAACAAUUUAUCUUUCUUUGAAUGUUCUUUAGUUAUUAGAAUUUGUUAGUUUUGUGAUUGAAGUGGGA
This 368-nucleotide long non-coding RNA is filed under the name Lactuca sativa (garden lettuce). RNAcentral's name for it is "long non-coding RNA (LSAT_LNC002179)". Lineage: Eukaryota; Viridiplantae; Streptophyta; Magnoliopsida; Asterales; Asteraceae. The record is from RNAcentral.